Molecule: long non-coding RNA, 3374 nt
Organism: Drosophila simulans
Lineage: Eukaryota; Metazoa; Arthropoda; Insecta; Diptera; Drosophilidae
Exons: 2
Source: RefSeq, a predicted model, not a curated record
UCGAUGUCAUCGAUGUUUUCGCAAAAUCACAAACAUCGAUGUUUUUUGAGGAAUCAUCGAUCUUUCUCCGCCUCUAAUGUGGCGGAUUCAACCCAUGUACAUGUACUACAUGUAUGAAAGCGGCACAACUACCCGUUUCCGGUGGGCAGUCGGUCCGCAAUGUGGGCCGCCGACACCAUUCCACAGCCAAUUGACGUCACAAGCGACACAACAGCAACAACCUGGCACACGCUUUCUGGGUUAUGUCGGAAUGCAUCAAAAAGCGGGAGAAAAGCAGAAGAAGGUAGGAAAAGAAAGAAACCAAGAGUCACCCGGAUGGCAAUUCGAUUGCGGAGAGAUUUGGACAAUCAAUCGGCUUAGUUCACAGCCCAGCGGGACGGGACUCAGUGCCACAGGUUCAACUGUACAAUAAUACCAAGAAGAUGACGACGAUGACGAUGACGAUGAUGAUGGGGGAAGGGCGAUGGGCAAAAUGUUAAUGGAUUGCCCUAGGACCUGCCCUCAUUCCGUUUGCCAUCUUCGUCGCUUCGCUUCUGCAUUUGUGCAUUCCCAUUCCCAAUCCGAUUCCCCCAUCAAGUUGUGCUUCUCUGCCACACCGCCUUUCUGCCCCUUUUGCGGUGUUCUGUUGCUUUGUUGAUGUUACAAUUGUUGCACUUGUUGUGUGCGGCUUAGGACGUUGAACCACAGCCGGCAGAAAUGCAGAACUGCACGCAACUGAGUGGCAAGUGUACAGCUGCGGUCACAGCACUAGCAAUGCUUUGCGAAGGAUUCCUCCAGACCGCUGGAUAAUUGGUUUUCUUACGCGUAAUUUGGCCGACAUUAGUUAGUUGAUAUCUGCAAUCUAAAAGUUACGAAGCAACGGUGUUCGGAAAAGCCCUAGAAAGAUGUAAUUACCCAACUAUGUAUGUAUAGUGCCCGAUGCUCGCACUUUUUUUUCAGUGCAUUCUUGCAAUUUGCUAACAUUUUUACCGCCGUCGCUGCCGUAUGCAUUUGUAUACUCAUUCGGAAAGCCAAUUCUAAGGCAAUGCUAGUAAAAUCAAUAAACAACAUUACUGUCACGCACACAUACAUAUGCAUAUAUAUUGGAUGUCCGGUUGAAACGAUGACGAUGAAAGGUCACGACGAAGAAUUUUUCGCCAAUUGCCUGGUGGGUCGCACAGUCUGGGUCGCGAGACGUCUGACUAGACAACAUGCAAAUAGUAACGGUAAUCAUUAGACGCACACACUCGCACCUAUUUGCAUGCAAACUCUCUCUGGCUGUGGUUCUGGUCUUGGGCCCCCAUAUUUCAUCUCUCUCGCGGCCGCACUCUCUUUCUCUCACCAUUUUCUAUGCUGAGUUCGACGGCCUUCUUACGUAAAAUCAACAACAACGCUCUGCGGUAUUUCUCUUCUAAUAAGCGGGCGCUUGGGGCUUGGGGUUGGGGGGAUGUGCACUCGCCGACAGAGUUGCCAUAUCUAGCCAGAUAUCAAACUCGUUUUCACUGUUUUGGCUCCAUACACACACACACACGCACGCAUGCACCAAUGUGAGUGUCUUUGCAACUGUACAAGAACAAUAAGUAGGGGCAGCAUAAAAGCAACAACACACGGCGCAGACGCCAAGCAAACGCUCCCCCUCCCAACGCUCCACUCAAUGUUUGUCUGUCUGUCCGGAACGUCUGUUUAUGUAUGCUUUAGGCGUACACAUGCAUGAGUGUGUGUGAGCAAUUUUUAUUUUUCUGAAUGUAAAGGAAGUGGCACGUACUGUACUACUCAACUCACCGCUGCCGCAACAACAAGAGCAGUGACAGCCGGAUCAGGCUGGGAAUUCGAAUAAGAGCGGAGCGCGUCGCAUUCGGAUGUUCCGAUUCCGCAUCGUUCCCAGCCGCAAAGCGGUCAGCGUUCCAAUGCCAACGGCACAGUGGUUGCGAUGCGAAAAGUAACGUGCUACGGAACCGAAACUCGCGGAUGAUCGUAAGUGGGAGAUAUGUACGUGGGAUAAGAGCGAAAAUGCUCAUUUAGGAUCGAUCCAUUGUGCAGCGAGAUGAGCGGAACGAAAGGCGAAAGGGAGAGCGCUGCUGGUUUGCGUCUCCGCUGUGCGGCAGACAGACAGACAAGACGCCGCAAUAUUAUAAACAGGAAAUGGAAUUUACCCACACGGAUGCAGCGCGGUGAAGUGUGUGUCUGUGUAAAUUGCUGAUGAGCCGACAAACGGACGUGGUGCUCAAUUGACAAAUGAGCACGAGAGAGACAGGCAGAGCAUAGCACACCGCCGAAUGAGCGAAGGAGAAGGCGAGAGCGCGCUUACAAAGUUGAUUGAAAUCAAUAUACGUACAUACGUAUGUAUGCAUGUACACACAUACCGUGCCGGUGUGAGUGUGCUAAGACCGCUCGUGGAAUGUUUGAAAAACGCGGUCAAGCGACGGGAAGAGCAAGAAUGUUGAACUCUGGAAGUGGGAAGAAGUUUCUGUAAAUAGAAGCGAGGUGGAGGGGGCUUUUGCACCUGCCACGCCCAGCUGCCCCUGGAAUCAAUUAACAUGUUGCACAACUGCAGCGGCUCCUAUGUACAUAGUGCAUAUAUGUAUUGUGAUACAGUGACUUACGCACACAGCGGUGCAAUUGCAGAUGGCGACGAGUGUAGCGUGUAGUUUUUUCUCGGAAAUGAGCAAUGAAUGAAAUUCGGUUGUUUUCAGCGUGUACUCACACACACACGAACGCACAUGCAUACACUCGCAAUUUGGAGCAAGAGAGAAAGUCUGCACGACAUGCGCUCUGGCAUUUGUGUGUAUACAAUUUGUUUACUUUUUGCGCUACAAUUGGCAAAUAAAACAAUAGCGCAAUUUUACGCAGCAUUUUAGCUUACUAACCCACAUUGAUGGCUUCACAAAGCGAGCAAAAUAAUUUGUCUUCAUAAAUGAAAAAAAUAUUAAGUAAAACUAAGCAGAAAAAAUGUCGGCAAAAAACAAGGCGCAGCUGUAUUGUGCGCUAGUGUGUGUAAAAAGGAGACGGCCAUAGAAAAAAAAACACAUAUACACACAGGAGAAUUUACUGCUGCUUGCGGCGCCCACACACACAUACACAAAAACACACGCCUAUUUAGUACAGCAACUGCGUAAAUUCAAUAAAAAUAGUCUUCUGGAGUAAAAAAAACUCAGUUUCCUGUCUUCAUUUCCCCUUUUUUUCGGUGAAGGUACACAGUCACUACUGCUAUGAUUUUUAGCACACACACUCGCGCAUUGUAUGCAUUUGGGUUGCUUUCAUUUGGAUGUUUAUCACUUACUUUAGCACUUACUUUGGGAUAUAGCUCUUCGUUUGUUGCACUUUUUUGGCCUGUUUUUAUGCCAUUUUCUUUUUGAAAAACUGAAAGAGUACAAUUCGUUGUGUCGCGUCUUAAA